GCCAGCAGUGAUAGGUUGAAUGCAUGACCAAUUGGAUCACUGAAGUGAAGCAACAUUGUGCGGGAAUCAUAUCUGGAUGGGUGACCAUCUGGCCAAUCACGCGCUGCUGGAU
Molecule: ribosomal RNA, 112 nt
Filed under: Diaphorina citri (Asian citrus psyllid)
Lineage: Eukaryota; Metazoa; Arthropoda; Insecta; Hemiptera; Psyllidae
Source: RNAcentral